UCGGGGUGUAGCGUAGCUUGGCUAGCGCGCCUGAUUUGGGAUCAGGAGGUCGCAGGUUCAAAUCCUGUCACCCCGAGCC
This 79-nucleotide transfer RNA is filed under the name Anaerotignum neopropionicum. Its description in RNAcentral is "tRNA-Pro". It matches the Rfam family "tRNA". Rfam says of the family: Transfer RNA (tRNA) molecules are approximately 80 nucleotides in length. The record is from RNAcentral. RNAcentral also lists the same sequence under 2 other names. Lineage: Bacteria; Bacillati; Bacillota; Clostridia; Lachnospirales; Anaerotignaceae.